Aegilops tauschii subsp. strangulata is the source of this 784-nucleotide long non-coding RNA. RefSeq lists it as uncharacterized. The record is from RefSeq and is a predicted model, not a curated record. Lineage: Eukaryota; Viridiplantae; Streptophyta; Magnoliopsida; Poales; Poaceae.
CUCCUUAUCCCUUCGCACCCACGCCUAGCGAUCGAAGCCGCCGCAAGUCACCGCCGCUAGCCUGGAGGCCUCAUGCCGCCACCGCUCGCCCCUUUCUCUGUAGGUCACCCACGCACCUGGGACCCGGGGCCGUUUCCUCCUCCCCACCAGGCUCGAGGAGGCCCGAGGAGGUGACCAUGAGGAGCGCGCAGCCGCCGGAGCCAUGGGUAGAUCCAGCCGGGACCGUCGGCAACCAUCCCUCCUUCCGGCGGCGAUGAAGAAUUGAAGAGGCUUGAGGAGAAUGGGCGCAUGGGCCGUGCGCGUCUCCCGCGCUAGGAGCCACCGGUCCUCGUCAUCUGCUAGGAUCCACGAGGAAUCGAUACAUAUAAUGUUUGCGAGGAGCUCGGUUAGUGUUGAUGCCUCAAGGGUUUAUGCAUGUCAGUUCCAUGUUGCUUAAAGCCACUGUAACCAUGGCUACUGGUUUUCAGAUUCAAAAGAAGCAUAAUGGAGUUGCAGCUGAACCGUUCUUCUGUUGGAUGAAGAAGCAAAUGUAAUUAGAAGAUUUUACUUAGCAAUAAUUGUAGUUUGCAUUGAUAGAUUGAAAAAUGUAACACCAUUCAGAAGAUCUUUUUCUUUGGUCGAAUUGAUGCAAAUGCUAUGGUGUAAUAUUCUCCAUAGAUGUGUUCUCUAUAGUAAAAUAUAUAUGAAUGAUAUGCUGUCUAGCCAAUAACAUUGGUAUGUAUUUAUUGUAAUGCAUAUGUAUCCUACACUCGUAUAUUCAUAAUAAAUACCUUGACAUUUUCAA